CUAGUUGCAGCAUCGGCACAACACAUAUUCUAGCAAACAGACCUAUGUUUGACACAUUCUACCACAAAGUGCCUGUCCAAAGGCUUCGGCACUGUGGCUCAUGUAGAAAACUGAAAAAUGUCUCAACUGUAGUAGCAUACAUAUCUAACAUCUUUUGUCCUUUCAUAAAGCAACGAAAGUUCAGAACAUACCAUCUUAAACCGGUGAGCGACUUGGUUUACAUCAUCUCCUAGUUGACCUGAGCUACAAAUUUAUUGUUUCCAUAAAUUAGGUAAAUAAUGUUUGUACAAUGAAUUUUAAAUGUAAAAGCAGCCUACUAGAAAUUAAGGCAUAAUAUCAUGACGUGUGAAAAAGCUCAAUAAACUACAUCAACACAAGCAAAAUGACAGACAAAAUACAUGAUAAUAUUUUUUUCGCCCAUGGAUAUGUACUUCCAAAUAGCUUUAUAUUAACAUCAUAUGCACAUGCUGAAGGAAAAUUUUAAUUAGAUCAACCAAGGCAAAAAUAUAUCGUGUAAGAUCUCAUCUCUUGUAAAAAGAAACUGGCGCAAAUAGAAAGCAGAAAUCUAAGACCAUUUAGGAAAAGAGUUAACCAGUUAAUCGGUAAAAGACAACAAUGUAAGAUGUCAUCAGUUAUAAAAAACCUGAUCAAGGAGCACAUAAAUCACUUCCCGCAGGGCGCCCUCCCCUGCCUCCAUCCUGAGCACCUCCAUCCCGUGAGCACUCAAGCCCUGGAUCCAUAGUCUCGAGCUCGACCGAGCUCCGCCAUCUCUGCC
RNAcentral lists this long non-coding RNA (775 nucleotides) under Triticum aestivum (bread wheat). Its description in RNAcentral is "long non-coding RNA (TAES_LNC006275)". The record is from RNAcentral. Lineage: Eukaryota; Viridiplantae; Streptophyta; Magnoliopsida; Poales; Poaceae.